This is a long non-coding RNA of Melopsittacus undulatus (budgerigar), 546 nucleotides long. RefSeq lists it as uncharacterized. The record is from RefSeq and is a predicted model, not a curated record. The transcript has 4 exons. NCBI's taxonomy places the organism in Eukaryota, Metazoa, Chordata, Aves, Psittaciformes, Psittaculidae.
UGCCUUUCCUUUUGGUAACAGCAGAAUAAUCAAACAAACACUGGAGGUUUCACUGGUUCCCAGAUCAACAAAACCCCAUUUUCCAGUGGGAGAACAUGCAAUCCAUGGAACUUUCAGCUGGCUGUGCUGCUGCCUGCUAUUUCCAGUUGCCUUCCCAUGAUAUGGUGUGCACAUCCUGAAGACGUGCCUUCAUCAACCCUUUCAUACAGUAGAUUGAGCUGCCAAUCAUCAGAUGACCUGAAGAGAAAAGAGGAGACAAAGAAGCUGAAGAAAACUCUGGAUGCCUCUGGAGGCUUAGGGCUGUGGAAAAUCUGAUUUCUGUGUUAAAAUAAGAACUCACCGAAGCAAGUGACGUGGAAGUGCACACAUCAUUACACAGGCAGGGAAACAGGGAAGGAAAAUGUUAGCUCACAUUCUGAGCCCUGCAGAGCAGUUUGCCUGUGAUUUCCUUCUCUUUUCUUGUGUACCUGACUCAUCUUGGGGAUGUGUGGAAGGACACAACCAGGAGGAUUUCAUCCAGUGUGAUGGGAAGUGAUUGAAGAUGGA